AUGACAUCCUAUCUAGUAAUAUGUACUACACUUCAAUUUUUUUUUUUUUUCAAAAUUAACAUGACAGGUUUUCUAAUACUUUCAUUUUGGGGGAAAAUGUUAUUUAAUUGGGGCACAUAUCUGAUGAAACAAAAAAUAACAUGCAGAAUUCCAAAAAUAAUCUCUUAAAGUAAUAUGAUACUUACCCUUUAUGUAAUAAGACAUCUAUGAACAACAGUGCAUAACAAUAUUAUGUAUUCACGUUUAUGAGAAACCAAGCAGGAGGCAAAAUGAGUUCAUCUUGUUUUCUAAUCAUGUGCAAUUUCAUGUGGCUGUCUGCAUCGUUUAAAUAAAGUGUUUACAUUAAAUUUAUAAGACUGCAUUGCACUUAAAAUUAUUAUGGAUAGCCAUGCUUGCCCUGUUUUUAAUGAAUGAUGAAUUUUUCCUACUAACAGAGUUACUGUCUUAAAUUGUAUCUGUGAUGUAAAGAGUAUUAAAUUAUAUUUUCAUCUCCUUUCAAUUGCUGCCUUGGAAAGCAAGAAUUCACUUCUUGGAGAAGACUUACAGUAAGUAAAAUUUACUUAAGGACUCAGUGAGGAAUCAGCACGUGAAUCAAGAAUGUAAUAUAAGAAUGGACUAAAAGGAAUGUGAUUAUCAUCAGUACCUUUGUUGAAAUCUAUUACCACCACUAAAAUUUCCAAGGAAAGAUAGGGCCUGUAACAUAGGGAUUCCAUUCAUUUUUAAAUUACUAAAAUCUACCAAUUUAAUGCUUUCAUACUGUUUAUUUUUUCCAAUAGAAAAAUAAAUCUCAUACAUUAGAAGUGGUACACAAAAAACUGGGAUAAAAUUUAUCAGAUUCUUGAUAGCACCAUUUACACAUUCUUAAAGUAAACAUUAAUAUGCACUUUCUUAGAAAGCGAUAUAAAUAUAUAAUACAGGACUUGCUAACCUCUGUUAACCAUCUGAAUACGAUGGAAUAAUCUAUCUCUACUGUGCAGGUAGGCUUGUGCAUGGUGGUGUGGCAAUAUCAUUUUAAAAGUUUGUUACAGAUGUGAUGGGAAGCUGGAAGGAGUCGAAUAAGCAGAAAAAAGAGCUUAGAUCUAUUGUAAGCAAUGAGUCGAAAUGAGUCGUUACAGGUUAGAAUUUAUCUUUGUUUCUGAUCAUUCAAUGAGAAAAUGACUUCCACAGAAAUAGAUACAUUUAACUGUUUCGGGAGUGGAGUGGGUGAAGUGAAGUAGGAUUGGAAGUCCUACAGGUAAGAGCAAUAACUGGAAGUGCAGACGAAAUUGGUCUUCAGUGCAAAGAGG
RNAcentral lists this long non-coding RNA (1286 nucleotides) under Capra hircus (goat). Its description in RNAcentral is "lncRNA (ENSCHIG00010011647.1)". Lineage: Eukaryota; Metazoa; Chordata; Mammalia; Artiodactyla; Bovidae. The record is from RNAcentral.